RNAcentral lists this ribosomal RNA (497 nucleotides) under uncultured bacterium. RNAcentral's name for it is "partial 16S ribosomal RNA". It matches the Rfam family "Bacterial small subunit ribosomal RNA", at positions 28 to 507 of the family's 1533-position model. The record is from RNAcentral.
GACGAACGCUGGCGGCGUGCCUAAUACAUGCAAGUUGAGCGCUGAAGGUUGGUACUUGUACCAACUGGAUGAGCAGCGAACGGGUGAGUAACGCGUGGGGAAUCUGCCUUUGAGCGGGGGACAACAUUUGGAAACGAAUGCUAAUACCGCAUAAAAACUUUAAACACAAGUUUUAAGUUUGAAAGAUGCAAUUGCAUCACUCAAAGAUGAUCCCGCGUUGUAUUAGCUAGUUGGUGAGGUAAAGGCUCACCAAGGCGAUGAUACAUAGCCGACCUGAGAGGGUGAUAGGCCACAUUGGGACUGAGACACGGCCCAAACUCCUACGGGAGGCAGCAGUAGGGAAUCUUCGGCAGUGGACGAAAGUCUGACCGAGCAACGCCGCGUGAGUGAAGAAGGUUUUCGGAUCGUAAAACUCUGUUGGUAGAGAAGAACGUUGGUGAGAGUGGAAAGCUCAUCAAGUGACGGUAACUACCCAGAAAGGGACGGCUAACUACGUG